This is a long non-coding RNA of Lycium barbarum (goji berry), 923 nucleotides long. RefSeq lists it as uncharacterized. The transcript has 3 exons. NCBI's taxonomy places the organism in Eukaryota, Viridiplantae, Streptophyta, Magnoliopsida, Solanales, Solanaceae. The record is from RefSeq and is a predicted model, not a curated record.
CUCAACAGGUAUACCAAUUGCAGGAAAGGACGUCAUCCACUUAAUUCAAAUCUCACUUUUUAAAUCUAAGGAAAAAACAAUAAGUGCUCCAAUGAUAACCUUUAACAACUAUAAUAAUAUGGUUUAUAUGACACGUGUCCCUUUUAAAUCAACUUGACGGCUAAGUAAAUCAUAUUAAUUCUUUCCUAACCAAUAUUUGGUACUACCAAAUUGGACCAAGAAAAAGCGGUACGUACGUACUUCCAAUUUCAAAGCUCUAUGAUUUAUAAAUAUUGCCAGAAAAUUCACUUCUUUAGCAUCCAUCAACUUUUAUAUUUCAGCUGGUGUGUAUUCUUGUUUUCAAAAGAUAUAUGGAAAUGAAGCAGAUGACAUUUUUUUGGGGAAGAAAUAACUGGGAAAGUUUACAGAUGUAUGUAUUGGAUUUGGUUGCAGUGUUCGUGCUUUCUUUUAUGGUGGAAUGGCUGUCACAUUCGAGAUUUAUAAGUUCAUUCUUCCUACACUGUGAAAUUGUAAGCCGCAAGCUAAUCGGAUUUAACUGAUCAAGUUCUACGGUAUCCAGCCCCUUCCCCGGACCCCGCGCAUAGCGGGAGCUUAGCGCAUCGGACUGCUCUUUAUCUUGCACAAUGGAAAUUAUUGUCCACGCACCAAUCAAAUACCGGAAAAAUACGUUUCAUGAAAAUGACUUCCAUCCUACCAAACCCGCUCAGAAUGUAGUUGCAAUGUCAAAUCUUUUGAGUCUCCAACAUUGCACCAAAAAAAGAGAGAAAAGCCCCCUCUCCACGAGUUUGGACCAAGGAAAAGUAAGAAAAGGACCUGCCGCACAUAUAACACUUGCACUUCAUACAUUAUAUGCACACUAUUUCCAGCUUCCCUACCUAAAACGUAUUAUUAACUUCCCUCCAUCUAAAGUAGUUGAAGGUUAG